Molecule: long non-coding RNA, 592 nt
Filed under: Rhinopithecus bieti (black snub-nosed monkey)
Lineage: Eukaryota; Metazoa; Chordata; Mammalia; Primates; Cercopithecidae
Description: lncRNA (ENSRBIG00000045782.1)
Source: RNAcentral
GCUCACUGUGAUUUAUCUUGUUUUGCUCUCCAAUAGGUGCUGGAGAGUUAGGUGCUCCAAUAGGUGCUGGAGAGUUAGAGCCACUCCAUCACGAUCACUCUGAGCCCUUUCCCUGUCUUCAGUGAUGCUGAAGCUUCUCUUUGGAGGAAUUCCAGUUUUUCUAGCUGUUUUGGCCCCGUGCCCUCCAGGACCUCCGAAGACUGCGGGGGAACUCAGUGAGUCAACACAUGCAUUCGACAUUGAUGGAAGUUCCGGACAUCAACAUGGAUUUUGUACCUGUACCCCCAUUUUGGCAAAUACCAGAUGUCGUGCCAUGCUGUGCUCUUACCUUUGAGGCAGGAGGAAAGGGCCUGUUUGUUUUUGUGUGGACCAUCAACCAGGAAUUGGAGCCUACCCAACCAUACCUUUGGUUAAAUCACCAACCUAGAAGUGGGUCAAGAGAGCAAUUCUACCAUAACUGCUGGACCUACAGUGUGAAGGGCUGGGGCAAUAACAAGCACAAUUUGGGAUGUCCCUUGGAGUCCCCCUCAAAGUAGAAGGGGAAGCAAGGAAACUACUCUGAAGUCAGAAUGGCAUUUUUGAGAGAAAGCAC